UGCCAGCAGCCGCGGUAAGACGGAGGGUGCAAGCGUUGUUCGGAAUUACUGGGCGUAAAGCGCGUGUAGGCGGUUAGGUAAGUCAGAUGUGAAAGCCCACGGCUCAACCGUGGAAGUGCACCUGAUACUGCUUAACUAGAGUACCGGAGAGGAAAGGAGAAUUCCCGGUGUAGAGGUGAAAUUCGUAGAUAUCGGGAGGAAUACCGGCGGCGAAGGCGCCUUUCUGGACGGAUACUGACGCUGAGACGCGAAAGCGUGGGGAGCAAACAGGAUUAGAUA
Molecule: ribosomal RNA, 279 nt
Filed under: uncultured bacterium
Lineage: Bacteria
Description: partial 16S ribosomal RNA
Rfam family: Bacterial small subunit ribosomal RNA
Source: RNAcentral